UACAGAGGUCUCAAGCGUUGUUCGGAUUCAUUGGGCGUAAAGGGUGUGUAGGUGGCGCCGUAAGUCGGGGGUGAAAUUUCGGAGCUUAACUCCGAAACUGCAUUCGAUACUGCGGUGCUUGAGGACUGGAGAGGAGACUGGAAUUCAUGGUGUAGCAGUGAAAUGCGUAGAGAUCAUGAGGAAGACCAGUGGCGAAGGCGGGUCUCUGGACAGUUCCUGACGCUGAGGCACGAAGGUCAGGGGAGCAAACGGG
Molecule: ribosomal RNA, 253 nt
Filed under: uncultured bacterium
Lineage: Bacteria
Description: partial 16S ribosomal RNA
Rfam family: Bacterial small subunit ribosomal RNA
Source: RNAcentral